UUGUAGGCUGCAACUCGCCUACAUGAAGUCGGAAUCGCUAGUAAUCGCGGAUCAGCACGCCGCGGUGAAUACGUUCCCGGGCCUUGUACACACCGCCCGUCACACCACGAGAGUUUGUAACACCCGAAGUCGGUGAGGUAACCUUUUGGAGCCAGCCGCCUAAGGUGGGACAGAUGAUUGGGGUGAAGUCGUAACAAGGUAGCCGUAUCGGAAGGUGCGGCUGGAUCACCUCCUUUCUAAGGAA
RNAcentral lists this ribosomal RNA (244 nucleotides) under Streptococcus thermophilus. RNAcentral describes it as "partial 16S ribosomal RNA". It matches the Rfam family "Bacterial small subunit ribosomal RNA", at positions 1298 to 1533 of the family's 1533-position model. Lineage: Bacteria; Bacillati; Bacillota; Bacilli; Lactobacillales; Streptococcaceae. The record is from RNAcentral.